Molecule: long non-coding RNA, 461 nt
Organism: Uranotaenia lowii
Lineage: Eukaryota; Metazoa; Arthropoda; Insecta; Diptera; Culicidae
Exons: 2
Source: RefSeq, a predicted model, not a curated record
GAUAGCUGGGACUUUAAGAUGAGCGUGUACGGUGGUAAACAAAGGGACAAAAUUUGCCAUGCAAUGCACACCAUUUUUGGCGAUUCGGAAUCCAAUUAUUCCGGACAAUUCCCGGUAUGCAGGAACUAAAGUGGAAAAUAUCGAAUCAGAAGGCGAUGGCACGAAUUCCGAUGGUAGCGAGGCAGGUUCCUCAGCUUCAGAUGUGGGCGCACGCAAUGCCACACUCGGAUCAGAUAGAGAUCCACAACACAACCCGUGCUAGAAUACUCGCACAUCCGGAGCCUGGGGCAAGAAGUGCCUAAUCCGUCUUCCAGAAUAUGAUUGGGAAGGAGCUGCAGAAGAAAUGUGUCAAUAAGUGUUGGUGCAUUUAACUUGUUUUUUUGUCUUAAACCCGGAUUAUGAAGCGGGUAAGUCAGUGUUAAUAAUUAAUGUUUUAUAAAUAAUAAAUAUAAAUAAACCCA